This 320-nucleotide ribosomal RNA is filed under the name uncultured eukaryote. RNAcentral's name for it is "partial 18S ribosomal RNA". It matches the Rfam family "Eukaryotic small subunit ribosomal RNA", at positions 1470 to 1796 of the family's 1831-position model. The record is from RNAcentral.
CCCCUAGAUGUUCUGGGCCGCACGCGCGCUACACUGAACAGUUCAACAAGUCUUAACCUUGGCCGAUAGGUCUGGGUAAUCUUUGAACGCUGUUCGUGAUUGGGAUAGACCUUUGCAAUUAUGGGUCUUCAACGAGGAAUUCCUAGUAAACACAAGUCAUCAGCUUGCAUUGAUUACGUCCCUGCCCUUUGUACACACCGCCCGUCGCACCUACCGAUUGAAUGGUCCGGUGAAAUCUCGGGACGGCGGCUUGGUCGCUUGCGUCCGACUGCUGAAACUUGAUUAAACCAUAUCAUUUAGAGGAAGGUGAANUCGUAACA